Long non-coding RNA from Ictalurus punctatus (channel catfish), 523 nucleotides. Lineage: Eukaryota; Metazoa; Chordata; Actinopteri; Siluriformes; Ictaluridae. The record is from Ensembl.
CUGAUCUGUGUGCAUGAACUCAGGAUGAAGAUCCUCCUCAUCUUCACCCUCUGUCUGAUCUCAGAUGGAGGAGACUCCAAGGAAGUAACAGGAUAUUCAGGAGGAGGAGUCCUUAUCAAGUGCAAGUAUGAUACAGAAUACACACAAAAACAAAAAUAUUUCUGUAAGGGUUCAGGGCCAUCCUGUUCUGACCAAAUAAAGUCAGGAGCUAAAAACGAGUGGAUAAAUUCAGGAAGAUUCUCACUGUUUGAUGACCCCAAAUCAGCAGAGUUCAGUGUGAUGAUCAGAGAGCUCACUGUACAGGACUCUGGGACGUACCAGUGUGGAGUUGAUUUACCCAGUGUGAAAGACAUUUACACACCGGUGGAACUGAAGGUAAAGAAAGGGUCCUCGGUCUCUAGAGAAGUGACUGCAUAUGCCGGGACAAGAAGCAACAUCAAGUGUAGCUAUGACGAUGAGUACAAAGAGAAACCCAAAUCUUUCUGUAAGAUAGGAACACACCAGUGGUGUUUUAAUCAAAUAA